ACGCUCGACACCUACGGGAGCAGCAGUCGGGAAUAUUGCGCAAUGGAGGAAACUCUGACGCAGUGACGCCGCGUGCAGGAAGAAGGUUUUCGGAUUGUAAACUGCUUUAGACAGGGAAGAGGAAGGACAGUACCUGUAGAAUAAGCUCCGGCUAACUACGUGCCAGCAGCCGCGGUAAUCUGAGCGGGCUGGCAAGGC
RNAcentral lists this ribosomal RNA (198 nucleotides) under uncultured bacterium. Its description in RNAcentral is "partial 16S ribosomal RNA". It matches the Rfam family "Bacterial small subunit ribosomal RNA", at positions 328 to 539 of the family's 1533-position model. The record is from RNAcentral.